AUUUCAAAAGAAGAGCUUCACAAGCACAAUAAGCCUGGGGAUCUAUGGAUCUUGAUACAGGGCAAGAUCUAUAAUGUAACUGACUGGUCCAUGGUCCACCCUGGAGGUGAGCUUCCAUUGCUUCUACUCGCUGGCCAAGAUGCUACAGACGCCUUCGUUGCUUAUCAUCCUGGUACUGUUUGGAAGUAUCUCGACAAAUUCUUUACUGGGUAUCAUCUUAAAGACUACUCUGUUUCUGAGGUAUCGAAAGAUUAUCGAAAAUUGGUUGCUGAAUUCUCAAAAAUGGGUCUUUUUGAAAAGAAAGGGCAUAUUACGUUUAUUUCUCUAUGCUUCAUGGCAGUGCUGUUUGCUUUGAGUAUAAAAUCCCAUAAACACNUAUGGGAUUUUAUACUCCAAUAGCACAUGGGUGCAUCUGUUUUGUGGUGGUUUAAUAGGGUUUUUGUGGAUACAGAGUGGGUGGAUUGGACAUGAUUCUGGGCAUUAUCAGGUCAUGACAAGCCCUGAAUUCAAUCGUGCUGUGCAGAUCUUAACUGGCAAUUGCCUUGCAGGGAUCAGUAUUGGGUGGUGGAAAUGGAACCACAACGCCCAUCACAUUGCUUGUAACAGUCUUGAUUUCGAUCCAGAUCUGCAGCACAUGCCUUUCUUCGCGGUAUCUUCGAAAUUUUUCAGUUCAAUUACGUCUUAUUUUUAUGAAAGAAAGAUGAAUUUCGAUUCCGUUGCUAGGUUCUUGGUUAGUUAUCAGCAUUGGACUUUUUAUCCUGUUAUGUGUUUUGCCAGGAUUAAUUUGUUUGCACAGUCUUUCUUGCUCUUGGUAUCUAAGAGAAGGGUUGUCAAUAGGGGUCAAGAGAUUUUGGGAGUACUUGUGUUUUGGAUUUGGUAUCCUUUACUUGUUUCUUGCUUGCCCAACUGGGGAGAGAGAGUGAUGUUUGUUCUUGCCAGUUUCAUAGUCACUUCUAUUCAGCAUGUUCAGUUCUGUUUGAAUCAUUUCUCAUCCAAUGUUUAUGUUGGUCCCCCUAAUGGGAAUGAUUGGUUUGAGAUGCAAACAAAGGGCACACUCAAUAUAAAUUGCUCUUCCUGGAUGGAUUGGUUUCAUGGUGGAUUGCAGUUUCAGGUUGAGCACCAUCUGUUCCCCCGUUUGCCUCGAUGCCAUCUUAGAAAAAUCUCACCGUUUGUUAAGGAGCUAUGCAAGAAGCAUAAUUUGCCUUAUGAUAGCGCAUCAUUCUGGAAUGCUAAUCUCAUGACAAUUCGGACUCUUAGGGCUGCAGCCUUGCAGGCUAGGGAUCUUGCAAAUCCAGUUCCAAAGAAUUUAGUUUGGGAAGCUGUUAAUACUCAUGGAUGAGAUGGGGAUCCUGUGAAGCUUUCCGAGGUUGCUGCAACACCUCAGUUAUUUAUGCCUAUUCAACAUCCUCCCGUGAUUUAGGUGUUUAUAACUUGAUUUGAUUGAUGUCUGAGGGAGGAUAUCUUUGAUUUCAGUGGAAGAAUAAUUAUCUGUUACUUCUUGGAGGCUUCAAUUUUUAUUUUAUUCAUAAGUUGGUUCAUGUAGUUUUUGGAUUAGUUUAAAGAUCGUUCAUCAUUCAUGCUGGUUACCGACAGGCUGAUGUAGUUCUCUCCCCUUGUUUGCGCUCAUGCAAAGGGAUUUAGCGGAAUGUGUACUAGCAUAUUUCCAUUUACUGCUUUCUUUUGAUAGUUCAGUGUUGGGCCUUGGAUUUCUUCAAAGCUUACUUUUAUAUUGGCUUUGAGAUAAAAAUCAAAUCCAAAACAAGCAAUACAUAAAGAAAUCCAAGGCCCAACACUGAACUAUCAAAAGAAAGCAGU
Molecule: unclassified non-coding RNA, 1815 nt
Filed under: Hevea brasiliensis (rubber tree)
Lineage: Eukaryota; Viridiplantae; Streptophyta; Magnoliopsida; Malpighiales; Euphorbiaceae
Source: RNAcentral